This 439-nucleotide ribosomal RNA is filed under the name uncultured bacterium. Its description in RNAcentral is "bacterial SSU rRNA". It matches the Rfam family "Bacterial small subunit ribosomal RNA", at positions 340 to 773 of the family's 1533-position model. The record is from RNAcentral.
UACGGGAGGCAGCAGUGGGGAAUAUUGCACAAUGGGCGCAAGCCUGAUGCAGCCAUGCCGCGUGUAUGAAAAAGGCCUUCGGGUUGUAAAGUACUUUCAGUCGUGAGGAAGGUGUUAAGGUUAAUAACCUUAGCAAUUGACGUUAGCGACAGAAGAAGCACCGGCUAACUCCGUGCCAGCAGCCGCGGUAAUACGGAGGGUGCGAGCGUUAAUCGGAAUUACUGGGCGUAAAGGGCACGCAGGCGGUUAAUUAAGUUGGAUGUGAAAUCCCCGGGCUUAACCUGGGAAUGGCAUUCAAGCUGGUUAGCUAGAGUCUUGUAGAGGGGGUAGAAUUCCAUGUGUAGCGGUGAAAUGCGUAGAGAUGUGGAGGAAUACCGGUGGCGAAGGCGGCCCCUGGACAAAGGACUGACGCUCAUGUGCGAAAGCGUGGGGAGCAAAC